UACAGAGGUCCCAAGCGUUGUUCGGAUUUACUGGGCGUAAAGGGCGCGUAGGCGGCCACGACAAGUCACUUGUGAAAUCUCCGGGCUUAACUCGGAACGGUCAAGUGAUACUGUCGGGCUAGAGUACAGAAGGGGCAACUGGAAUUCUCGGUGUAGCGGUGAAAUGCGUAGAUAUCGAGAGGAACACCUGCGGCGAAGGCGGGUUGCUGGGCUGAUACUGACGCUGAGGCGCGAAAGCCAGGGGAGCGAACGGG
RNAcentral lists this ribosomal RNA (254 nucleotides) under uncultured bacterium. RNAcentral describes it as "partial 16S ribosomal RNA". It matches the Rfam family "Bacterial small subunit ribosomal RNA", at positions 524 to 776 of the family's 1533-position model. The record is from RNAcentral.